CCUACGGGAGGCAGCAGUGGGGAAUAUUGCACAAUGGGCGCAAGCCUGAUGCAGCAACGCCGCGUGAGGGACGACGGCCUUCGGGUUGUAAACCUCUUUUAGCAGGGAAGAAGCGAAAGUGACGGUACCCGCAGAAAAAGCACCGGCUAACUACGUGCCAGCAGCCGCGGUAAUACGUAGGGUGCAAGCGUUAUCCGGAAUUAUUGGGCGUAAAGAGCUCGUAGGCGGUUUGUCGCGUCUGCUGUGAAAACUGGGGGCUCAACCCCCAGCCUGCAGUGGGUACGGGCAGACUAGAGUGCGGUAGGGGAGAUUGGAAUUCCUGGUGUAGCGGUGGAAUGCGCAGAUAUCAGGAGGAACACCGAUGGCGAAGGCAGAUCUCUGGGCCGUAACUGACGCUGAGGAGCGAAAGGGUGGGGAGCAAACAGGCUUAGAUACCCUGGUAGUCCACCCCGUAAACGUUGGGAACUAGUUGUGGGGUUCAUUCCACGGAUUCCGUGACGCAGCUAACGCAUUAAGUUCCCCGCCUGGGGAGUACGGCCGCAAGGCUAAAACUUAAAUGAAUUGACGG
RNAcentral lists this ribosomal RNA (568 nucleotides) under uncultured bacterium. RNAcentral describes it as "bacterial SSU rRNA". It matches the Rfam family "Bacterial small subunit ribosomal RNA", at positions 338 to 916 of the family's 1533-position model. The record is from RNAcentral.